CCUACGGGAGGCAGCAGUGAGGAAUAUUGCGCAAUGGAGGCAACUCUGACGCAGCCAUGCCGCGUGCAGGAAGACGGCCCUACGGGUUGUAAACUGCUUUUAUCCGGGAAGAAACCCCAGGACGUGUCCUGGGUUGACGGUACCCGGAGGAAUAAGCACCGGCUAACUCCGUGC
This 174-nucleotide ribosomal RNA is filed under the name uncultured bacterium. Its description in RNAcentral is "partial 16S ribosomal RNA". It matches the Rfam family "Bacterial small subunit ribosomal RNA", at positions 338 to 508 of the family's 1533-position model. The record is from RNAcentral.